CUCGGAGAACUAAAUGUGAAGAUCUUAUCUGAGUCAAUUGUGUCAAAGAAGGUAGGGGAUAGAGGUAGGUGUUAUUGGGAUUUGAAGAUGUCCAGUUAUUGAAUUUUUUUCUAAUUUAUUCAAAAUAAAAAUGUAACAAAUCCAAUUCUUGGCUCAUUCAAAUGUAAAGUCCAUAAGUCAUUUUUGUUAUAAUUUUUUCAAGAAUUAUAAUAGGAGUGGGAAUUGGAG
This 228-nucleotide long non-coding RNA is filed under the name Olea europaea (common olive). Its description in RNAcentral is "long non-coding RNA (OEUR_LNC014199)". The record is from RNAcentral. Lineage: Eukaryota; Viridiplantae; Streptophyta; Magnoliopsida; Lamiales; Oleaceae.